This 73-nucleotide transfer RNA is filed under the name Mariniplasma anaerobium. It matches the Rfam family "tRNA". Rfam says of the family: Transfer RNA (tRNA) molecules are approximately 80 nucleotides in length. Their secondary structure includes four short double-helical elements and three loops (D, anti-codon, and T loops). Further hydrogen bonds mediate the characteristic L-shaped molecular structure. tRNAs have two regions of fundamental functional importance: the anti-codon, which is responsible for specific mRNA codon recognition, and the 3' end, to which the tRNAs corresponding amino acid is attached (by aminoacyl-tRNA synthetases). tRNAs cope with the degeneracy of the genetic code in two manners: having more than one tRNA (with a specific anti-codon) for a particular amino acid; and 'wobble' base-pairing, i.e. permitting non-standard base-pairing at the 3rd anti-codon position. The record is from Rfam by way of RNAcentral. Lineage: Bacteria; Bacillati; Mycoplasmatota; Mollicutes; Acholeplasmatales; Acholeplasmataceae.
GGCUCUGUAGCUCAGUCGGUAGAGCAAAGGACUGAAAAUCCUUGUGUCGGGAGUUCAAUUCUCCCUGGAGCCA